AAAGAUUAAGCCAUGCAUGUCUAAGUAUAAGCAAUCUAUACCGUGAAACUGCGAAUGGCUCAUUAAAUCAGUUAUCGUUUAUUUGAUAGUACCUUACUACUUGGAUAACCGUGGUAAUUCUAGAGCUAAUACAUGCUAAAAACCCCGACUUCGGAAGGGGUGUAUUUAUUAGAUAAAAAACCAAUGCCCUUCGGGGCUCUCUGGUGAUUCAUAAUAACUUAACGAAUCGCAUGGCCUUGUGCCGGCGAUGGUUCAUUCAAAUUUCUGCCCUAUCAACUUUCGAUUGUAUGGUCUUGGCUUACAAUGGUUU
This 310-nucleotide ribosomal RNA is filed under the name fungal sp. CRS5668T18-1. RNAcentral's name for it is "SSU rRNA". It matches the Rfam family "Eukaryotic small subunit ribosomal RNA", at positions 39 to 352 of the family's 1831-position model. Lineage: Eukaryota; Fungi. The record is from RNAcentral.